This 609-nucleotide ribosomal RNA is filed under the name Triticum aestivum (bread wheat). RNAcentral's name for it is "partial small subunit ribosomal RNA". The record is from RNAcentral. Lineage: Eukaryota; Viridiplantae; Streptophyta; Magnoliopsida; Poales; Poaceae.
AUGUCGUCUUCAAGCGCCCCCAAGGACCAGUUCUUCGAGAAGAUCAUCAACCCCUACCUCGCAGAAGUGCUGCAACACCCUCAAAUCAUUGAGAUGCGUGAGGGGUUGUUGCACAUCCGUGAUGCUGAGGAACUAAGGAAGACCAGAAGCACAGAGGCAAGGCUCGAGGCAUUGGAGCAAGAAGUUUUCAAGUGUCAGGAGAUGGUGGAGCGUGGACGCGAUUCCAAUCACAUUAUGAUCACGGAGUUCACCAACAACCACAAGCUGUACAUUGGGGAGGCCAUCUUCAAGCUUCAUGAGAAAAACGAGCACCUCCAAGCCCAGAUCUAUGACCUGCAAAAUCAAAACUGUGAGUAUGAAUAUAGAUUCAAGAGGAUGAGUUUGGCCGCAGAUUUGAGGUUUCAGGAGACUCGUUCAUCUUUCUAUGAUGGCGAGCCUAUGCCUUGGAAGAAGGACGACAAGCCUACGCCAUCAACAAAAUCACCACCGUCUCCACCAACAAAGAAGAAUAGAGUAUCUGGUAUGGGCACUCCCCUUGGCAACUGCCAAGCUUGGGGGAGUUCCCCGGUAUCGUAUCACCAUCACUUUUAUCUUUAUCGUUUUUCUUAG